UGGGGAAUAUUGCACAAUGGGGGAAACCCUGAUGCAGCGACGCCGCGUGAGCGAAGAAGGCCUUCGGGUCGUAAAGCUCUUUUAUGAGGGAAGAUAAUGACGGUACCUCAAGAAAAAGCCCCGGCUAACUACGCGCCAGCAGCCGCGGUAAUACGUAGGGGGCUAGCGUUGUCCGGAAUCACUGGGCGUAAAGGGUUCGCAGGCGGAAUAACAAGUCAGAUGUGAAAGGCAUGGGCUCAACCCAUGUAAGCAUUUGAAACUGUAAUUCUUGAGAAGUGGAGAGGUAAGUGGAAUUCCUAGUGUAGCGGUGAAAUGCGUAGAUAUUAGGAGGAAUACCUGUGGCGAAGGCGACUUACUGGACACAAAUCUGACGCUGAGGAGCGAAAGCGUGGGUAGCAAACAGG
Molecule: ribosomal RNA, 404 nt
Filed under: Verrucomicrobiota bacterium
Lineage: Bacteria; Pseudomonadati; Verrucomicrobiota
Description: Verrucomicrobia bacterium partial 16S ribosomal RNA
Rfam family: Bacterial small subunit ribosomal RNA
Source: RNAcentral